This is a long non-coding RNA of Podarcis raffonei (Aeolian wall lizard), 305 nucleotides long. RefSeq lists it as uncharacterized. The record is from RefSeq and is a predicted model, not a curated record. NCBI's taxonomy places the organism in Eukaryota, Metazoa, Chordata, Lepidosauria, Squamata, Lacertidae. The transcript has 2 exons.
GCUUAUGUAUGAGGGCCUAUUCAGGAGCCGGUCACCACCCUGACACCACGCCUUCUUGAAAGGUCUCCCAGAGUACCGCAUCUUCCUGCUACUCCAGAGACAAACAUCCCCAACCUCACUUAAAACUGCAUUAUGGGAGAGCAGCAGAGAGAAGAGUCAGAACAAGGAAUAACAUUCAGAAAGUAGUUCUGCUUAAAGUCUACCACAAUAAGUUACUCUGUGUAAGAGAAAGUGAUGGAGGAAGUGCACAUCACUAAAUUUAAUAAUCAGAGGGAUUUAUAAAAGGUAGCUGCGUUUUCUUCUAA